GCCCAGCUGUAACACAAUAAUCAAAUAACCCAUUAUUCGCCAAAUAACUACGAGCAAAAGCUUAAAAUUUAAAAGACUUGACGGUACUUCACAACAACCUAGAGGAGCCUGUCUAAUAACCGAUACCCCACGAUUAACCCUACCCCCCCUAGCCAAAGCAGUCUAUAUACCGCCGUCGCCAGCUUACCUUGUGAAAGGAAACAAAGUGAGCCCAACAGGCACCCCUAAUACGACAGGUCGAGGUGUAACUAAUGGGGGGGUUAAGAUGGGCUACAUUUUCUUACCAGAAAAUACAAAUAGACUAUGAAACUAGAAAUUGAAGGCGGAUUUAGCAGUAUGUUAAGAACAUAAUACCUAACCGAAAUAAAUGCAAUGAAGUGCGCACACACCGCCCGUCAUCCCUGCAAACAAACACUAAAGUUAAUAAACACAAUAUCACCACUAAAACAGGGCAAGUCGUAACAUGGUAGGCGUACUGGAAAGUGCGCCUAGAAA
Molecule: ribosomal RNA, 495 nt
Filed under: Heterodon platirhinos
Lineage: Eukaryota; Metazoa; Chordata; Lepidosauria; Squamata; Dipsadidae
Description: partial 12S ribosomal RNA
Rfam family: Bacterial small subunit ribosomal RNA
Source: RNAcentral